This 510-nucleotide ribosomal RNA is filed under the name uncultured bacterium. RNAcentral describes it as "bacterial SSU rRNA". It matches the Rfam family "Bacterial small subunit ribosomal RNA", at positions 889 to 1398 of the family's 1533-position model. The record is from RNAcentral.
CAAGGCUGAAACUCAAAGGAAUUGACGGGGGCCCGCACAAGCGGUGGAGCAUGUGGUUCAAUUCGACGCAACGCGAAGAACCUUACCUGGGCUCGAACGGCUUCUCAACGUUCGUGGAAACACGGAUAUCCCGCAAGGGAGUGGAGUCGAGGUGCUGCAUGGCUGUCGUCAGCUCGUGUCGUGAGAUGUUGGGUUAAGUCCCGCAACGAGCGCAACCCUUGCCCUGUUUUGCCAUCAUUAAGUUGGGAACUAUCAGGGGACCGCCAGCGAUAAGUUGGAGGAAGGUGGGGAUGACGUCAAGUCAUCAUGGCCUUUAUGUCCAGGGCUACACACGUGCUACAAUGGACGGUACAAAGCGCUGCUAAACCGCGAGGUGGAGCUAAUCGCAAAAAACCGUUCUCAGUUCGGAUUGCAGGCUGCAACUCGCCUGCAUGAAGCUGGAAUCGCUAGUAAUGGCAGAUCAGCAUGCUGCCGUGAAUACGUUCCCGGGCCUUGUACACACCGCCCGUC